This 253-nucleotide ribosomal RNA is filed under the name uncultured bacterium. RNAcentral describes it as "partial 16S ribosomal RNA". It matches the Rfam family "Bacterial small subunit ribosomal RNA", at positions 524 to 776 of the family's 1533-position model. The record is from RNAcentral.
UACGUAGGGUGCGAGCGUUGUCCGGAAUUAUUGGGCGUAAAGGGCGCGUAGGCGGUUUGUCGCGUCUGGUGUGAAAACCUCAGGCUCAACCUGGGGCGUGCAUCGGGUACGGGCAGACUAGAGUGCGGUAGGGGAGACUGGAAUUCCUGGUGUAGCGGUGGAAUGCGCAGAUAUCAGGAGGAACACCGAUGGCGAAGGCAGGUCUCUGGGCCGCAACUGACGCUGAGGAGCGAAAGCAUGGGGAGCGAACAGG